CCGGGUGAGUAACACGUGACUAACCUACCUUCGAGUGGGGGAUAACAUCGGGAAACCGAUGCUAAUACCGCAUAACAUCGCAAGAUCAAAGCAGCAAUGCGCUGGAAGAGGGGGUCGCGGCUGAUUAGCUAGUUGGCGGGGUAAUGGCCCACCAAGGCGAAGAUCGGUAUCCGGCCUGAGAGGGCACACGGCCACACUGGCACUGAAAUACGGGCCAGACUCCUACGGGAGGCAGCAGUGGGGAAUCUUGCACAAUGGAGGAAACUCUGAUGCAGCGACGCCGCGUGAACGAUGAAGCCCUUCGGGGUGUAAAGUUCUUUCGACGGGAACGAUAAUGACGGUACCCGAAGAAGAAGCUGCGGCUAACUACGUGCCAGCAGCCGCGG
Molecule: ribosomal RNA, 386 nt
Filed under: uncultured bacterium
Lineage: Bacteria
Description: bacterial SSU rRNA
Rfam family: Bacterial small subunit ribosomal RNA
Source: RNAcentral